This 496-nucleotide ribosomal RNA is filed under the name uncultured bacterium. RNAcentral's name for it is "partial 16S ribosomal RNA". It matches the Rfam family "Bacterial small subunit ribosomal RNA", at positions 28 to 507 of the family's 1533-position model. The record is from RNAcentral.
GAUGAACGCUGGCGGCGUGCCUAAUACAUGCAAGUCGAGCGAACAGACGAGGAGCUUGCUCCUCUGACGUUAGCGCGGACGGGUGAGUAACACGUGGAUAACCUACCUAUAAGACUGGGAUAACUUCGGGAAACCGGAGCUAAUACCGGAUAAUAUAUUGAACCGCAUGGUUCAAUAGUGAAAGACGGUUUUGCUGUCACUUAUAGAUGGAUCCGCGCCGCAUUAGCUAGUUGGUAAGGUAACGGCUUACCAAGGCGACGAUGCGUAGCCGACCUGAGAGGGUGAUCGGCCACACUGGAACUGAGACACGGUCCAGACUCCUACGGGAGGCAGCAGUAGGGAAUCUUCCGCAAUGGGCGAAAGCCUGACGGAGCAACGCCGCGUGAGUGAUGAAGGUCUUCGGAUCGUAAAACUCUGUUAUUAGGGAAGAACAAAUGUGUAAGUAACUAUGCACGUCUUGACGGUACCUAAUCAGAAAGCCACGGCUAACUACGUG